UGGGAGCUUGCUCCCUGAUGUUAGCGGCGGACGGGUGAGUAACACGUGGGUAACCUGCCUGUAAGACUGGGAUAACUCCGGGAAACCGGGGCUAAUACCGGAUGCUUGUUUGAACCGCAUGGUUCAAACAUAAAAGGUGGCUUCCGCUACCACUUACAGAUGGACCCGCGGCGCAUUAGCUAGUUGGUGAGGUAAUGGCUCACCAAGGCAACGAUGCGUAGCCGACCUGAGAGGGUGAUCGGCCACACUGGGACUGAGACACGGCCCACACUCCUACGGGAGGCAGCAGUAGGGAAUCUUCCGCAAUGGACGAAAGUCUGACGGAGCAACGCCGCGUGAGUGAUGAAGGUUUUCGGAUCGUAAAGCUCUGUUGUUAGGGAAGAACAAGUACCGUUCGAAUAGGGCGGUACCUUGACGGUACCUAACCAGAAAGCCACGGCUAACUACGUGCCAGCAGCCGCGGUAAUACGUAUGUGGCAAGCGUUGUCCGGAAUUAUUGGGCGUACAGGGCUCGCACGCGGUUUCUUAAGACUGAUGUGAAACCCCCGGCUCACCGGGGAGGGCAUUGGAAACUGGGAACUUGAUGCAGAAGAAAUAGUGGAAUUCACUUGUACCGUGAAAUCCGAUAGA
This 630-nucleotide ribosomal RNA is filed under the name Bacillus subtilis. RNAcentral's name for it is "bacterial SSU rRNA". It matches the Rfam family "Bacterial small subunit ribosomal RNA", at positions 73 to 694 of the family's 1533-position model. The record is from RNAcentral. Lineage: Bacteria; Bacillati; Bacillota; Bacilli; Caryophanales; Bacillaceae.